UACGUAGGGGGCAAGCGUUGUUCGGAAUUACUGGGCGUAAAGCGCGCGUAGGCGGUCUGAAAAGUCAGAUGUGAAAGCCCCGGGCUCAACUUGGGAACUGCAUUUGAUACUGUCAGACUAGAGUACAGAAGAGGUGACUGGAAUUCCCAGUGUAGCGGUGAAAUGCGUAGAUAUUGGGAGGAACACCAGAUGCGAAGGCGGGUCACUGGGCUGAUACUGACGCUGAAGUGCGAAAGCGUGGGGAGCAAACAGG
RNAcentral lists this ribosomal RNA (253 nucleotides) under uncultured bacterium. Its description in RNAcentral is "partial 16S ribosomal RNA". It matches the Rfam family "Bacterial small subunit ribosomal RNA", at positions 524 to 776 of the family's 1533-position model. The record is from RNAcentral.